Molecule: ribosomal RNA, 1474 nt
Filed under: Lacticaseibacillus rhamnosus
Lineage: Bacteria; Bacillati; Bacillota; Bacilli; Lactobacillales; Lactobacillaceae
Description: bacterial SSU rRNA
Rfam family: Bacterial small subunit ribosomal RNA
Source: RNAcentral
AGGGGGGGCCCUAAUACAUGCAAGUCGAACGAGUUCUGAUUAUUGAAAGGUGCUUGCAUCUUGAUUUAAUUUUGAACGAGUGGCGGACGGGUGAGUAACACGUGGGUAACCUGCCCUUAAGUGGGGGAUAACAUUUGGAAACAGAUGCUAAUACCGCAUAAAUCCAAGAACCGCAUGGUUCUUGGCUGAAAGAUGGCGUAAGCUAUCGCUUUUGGAUGGACCCGCGGCGUAUUAGCUAGUUGGUGAGGUAACGGCUCACCAAGGCAAUGAUACGUAGCCGAACUGAGAGGUUGAUCGGCCACAUUGGGACUGAGACACGGCCCAAACUCCUACGGGAGGCAGCAGUAGGGAAUCUUCCACAAUGGACGCAAGUCUGAUGGAGCAACGCCGCGUGAGUGAAGAAGGCUUUCGGGUCGUAAAACUCUGUUGUUGGAGAAGAAUGGUCGGCAGAGUAACUGUUGUCGGCGUGACGGUAUCCAACCAGAAAGCCACGGCUAACUACGUGCCAGCAGCCGCGGUAAUACGUAGGUGGCAAGCGUUAUCCGGAUUUAUUGGGCGUAAAGCGAGCGCAGGCGGUUUUUUAAGUCUGAUGUGAAAGCCCUCGGCUUAACCGAGGAAGUGCAUCGGAAACUGGGAAACUUGAGUGCAGAAGAGGACAGUGGAACUCCAUGUGUAGCGGUGAAAUGCGUAGAUAUAUGGAAGAACACCAGUGGCGAAGGCGGCUGUCUGGUCUGUAACUGACGCUGAGGCUCGAAAGCAUGGGUAGCGAACAGGAUUAGAUACCCUGGUAGUCCAUGCCGUAAACGAUGAAUGCUAGGUGUUGGAGGGUUUCCGCCCUUCAGUGCCGCAGCUAACGCAUUAAGCAUUCCGCCUGGGGAGUACGACCGCAAGGUUGAAACUCAAAGGAAUUGACGGGGGCCCGCACAAGCGGUGGAGCAUGUGGUUUAAUUCGAAGCAACGCGAAGAACCUUACCAGGUCUUGACAUCUUUUGAUCACCUGAGAGAUCAGGUUUCCCCUUCGGGGGCAAAAUGACAGGUGGUGCAUGGUUGUCGUCAGCUCGUGUCGUGAGAUGUUGGGUUAAGUCCCGCAACGAGCGCAACCCUUAUGACUAGUUGCCAGCAUUUAGUUGGGCACUCUAGUAAGACUGCCGGUGACAAACCGGAGGAAGGUGGGGAUGACGUCAAAUCAUCAUGCCCCUUAUGACCUGGGCUACACACGUGCUACAAUGGAUGGUACAACGAGUUGCGAGACCGCGAGGUCAAGCUAAUCUCUUAAAGCCAUUCUCAGUUCGGACUGUAGGCUGCAACUCGCCUACACGAAGUCGGAAUCGCUAGUAAUCGCGGAUCAGCACGCCGCGGUGAAUACGUUCCCGGGCCUUGUACACACCGCCCGUCACACCAUGAGAGUUUGUAACACCCGAAGCCGGUGGCGUAACCCUUUUAGGGAGCGAGCCGUUUAACGGGGACCAAAUUU